CGAGCACGCGCGUGUGGCAUAUCAAUAAGCGGAGGAAAAGAAACUAACAAGGAUUCCCUUAGUAACGGCGAGUGAAGCGGGAAGAGCUCAAAUUUGAAAUCUUCAAGGUUCUACCUUGACGAAUUGUAGUUUAUAGAAGUGUUUUCUGUUAGUGGAGUGGCAAAAGUUCUUUGGAAUAGGACAUCAUAGAGGGUGAGAAUCCCGUAUUUGGUCAUUCCUCCUAGCGUUGUGAUACACUUUCAACGAGUCGGAUUGUUUGGGAAUGCAGUCCAGAAUGGGUGGUAAAUUUCAUCUAAAGCUAAAUAUUGGCGAGAGACCGAUAGCGAACAAGUACCGUGAGGGAAAGAUGAAAAGAACUUUGAAAAGAGAGUUAAACAGUACGUGAAAUUGUCAAAAGGGAAGCGUUUGACACCAGUGUUGUUUUUCCGAAAAUCAAUUACGAAUGUUUUGUUUUUGAGGAGUUAUGACUUCAUCGGCUUGCUUCUUUCUUUACGAAACUUUCUUAAUGCACUUUUCGGUUAACAAGUCAACAUCAAUUUCUUUUGUUGUAAAAGGGUAUGAGGAAGGUGGCUUUCUUUUCAGGAGAAAGUGUUUAUAGCCUUGUGCCUCUGCAAUCGGAGAGAUUGAGGUCUGCAGCGUAGAUCCUUCGGGGUUAGAUACAUUUGUGCUAAGUUAUAGCUUUUCAUAGACAACUUGUUGACUAUGUUAGUCUUGUAGCUUACUCGCUUAUGCUAUUUUACCUACGCUUAGGAUGUUGAUGUGAUACUGCGAGCA
RNAcentral lists this ribosomal RNA (774 nucleotides) under uncultured Neocallimastigales. RNAcentral describes it as "partial large subunit ribosomal RNA". It matches the Rfam family "Eukaryotic large subunit ribosomal RNA", at positions 19 to 646 of the family's 3401-position model. The record is from RNAcentral. Lineage: Eukaryota; Fungi; Neocallimastigomycota; Neocallimastigomycetes; Neocallimastigales.